AAAGUUGUUCUCAGUUCGGAUUGUAGUCUGCAACUCGACUACAUGAAGCUGGAAUCGCUAGUAAUCGUAGAUCAGCAUGCUACGGUGAAUACGUUCCCGGGUCUUGUACACACCGCCCGUCACACCACGAGAGUUUGUAACACCCGAAGCCGGUGGAGUAACCAUUUUGGAGCUAGCCGUCGAAGGUGGGACAAAUGAUUGGGGUGAAGUCGUAACAAGGUAGCCGUAUCGGAAGGUGCGGCUGGAUCACCUCCUUU
RNAcentral lists this ribosomal RNA (257 nucleotides) under Staphylococcus pseudintermedius. Its description in RNAcentral is "partial 16S ribosomal RNA". It matches the Rfam family "Bacterial small subunit ribosomal RNA", at positions 1278 to 1533 of the family's 1533-position model. The record is from RNAcentral. Lineage: Bacteria; Bacillati; Bacillota; Bacilli; Caryophanales; Staphylococcaceae.